AUUGAACGCUGGCGGCAUGCUUUACACAUGCAAGUCGAACGGCAGCGCGGGCUUCGGCCUGGCGGCGCGUGGCGAACGGGUGAGUAAUGCAUCGGAACGUGCCCAGUAGUGGGGGAUAGCCCGGCGAAAGCCGGAUUAAUACCGCAUACGACCUGAGGGUGAAAGCGGGGGACCGAAAGGCCUAGCGCUAUUGGAGCGGCCGAUGUCGGAUUAGCUAGUUGGUGGGGUAAAGGCUUACCAAGGCGACGAUCCGUAGCUGGUCUGAGAGGACGACCAGCCACACUGGGACUGAGACACGGCCCAGACUCCAACGGGAGGCAGCAGUGGGGAAUUUUGGACAAUGGGGGAAACCCUGAUCCAGCCAUGCCGCGUGCGGGAAGAAGGCCUUCGGGUUGUAAACCGCUUUUAUUCGGGAAGAAAACCUCUGGGCUAAUACCCCGGGGUGAUGACGGUACCGGAAGAAUAAGCACCGGCUAACUACGUG
Molecule: ribosomal RNA, 484 nt
Filed under: uncultured bacterium
Lineage: Bacteria
Description: partial 16S ribosomal RNA
Rfam family: Bacterial small subunit ribosomal RNA
Source: RNAcentral